UUGGGGUCGGUGUGGAGUUGGGAAAGCUGGAGCUGUUUUCAGGCUGUUCUCUGCUGUUCCUGGGCUGUUCUUGGCUGUUCGGCCCCUGAGGGCCCCGGGGACUCGACUGAGGCCGAGAGUUCUGGCUGUGAAGAUCUCCUGCUGCGCUGAAAAUCGUUCGGCUCGGAGGAGGACGAGUGGAGAGGAAGCUGAGAGUGCUCUGAGCUCUGGGUUCUGAGAGGAAGGUGCAAUACGAUCUUUACAGAAGAAACUAAAGAAAUGAGGCAGGACGUCCCGCAGUCGCUUGCUCUGUUCGUGCAGACAGUGGCAGUGGUGGCGGCAGCUGGGACCCGGCGCUGACUGACUGUCUGUGUCUGUAAGCGAUUUGGGUUUUGUGUGACGAGAGCUGAAAAACAAAAGCAGCAGUGUGAGAGGCACAUGUGAGGAGGCGAGGAGCCAGGUCCUGAUCCGGUUCUUGAGGAGCAGGACUUGAGGAGCAGGACUUGGCUCGCUUUGUGAACAGAUCCGGGACAGGCCGUGUUCACAGUGGCUAAGUUCCGCUCCUCUGAGGCUCAGUCGCAGCACCGGGAGGCGGUACCUGCUGAUACCCGGCCGGGGGCAGCGGACGAGUUCGCAGAGUGGCGGCGCCGGGUGAGUUACGCUGGGUACGUCUUUUCUUUGGUACGGAAAUGAAAGCUUGAGUGCUGUGAUAUAAAGAGCAGUUGCUGACCCCAGAUCAGUCCUGUUCCUCCGAGCACUUUAUGAACAGGAGCUUGGAGCUCCACCCUUCCUCUCCAGCAGGGUGUUCUGGUCAAGCAGGCUGUUAGCCAGAGGCGUGUACACAGCUCCAGCGCUAUGUCUUCUCCUCCGAAAACACAGUGAGGAAGAUGAAUGGAUGAAAGCUCAGGUUCUUCCAGGCAAAUAAAGAAGCUUUAAAAAACA
Molecule: long non-coding RNA, 921 nt
Filed under: Astyanax mexicanus (Mexican tetra)
Lineage: Eukaryota; Metazoa; Chordata; Actinopteri; Characiformes; Acestrorhamphidae
Description: lncRNA (ENSAMXG00005025374.1)
Rfam family: mir-27 microRNA precursor family (bases 469-547)
Source: RNAcentral